Molecule: ribosomal RNA, 253 nt
Filed under: uncultured bacterium
Lineage: Bacteria
Description: partial 16S ribosomal RNA
Rfam family: Bacterial small subunit ribosomal RNA
Source: RNAcentral
UACAGGGGGUGCAAACGUUGCUCGGAAUUAUUGGGCGUAAAGCGCACGUAGGCGGUUUGUUAUGUCGGAUGUGAAAGCCCUUGGCUCAACUGAGGAAGUGCAUCCGAAACUGGCAAGCUAGAGUAUGUAAGAGGGUCGCGGAAUUCCCGGUGUAGAGGUGAAAUGCGCAGAUAUCAGGAAGAACACCCGUGGCUAAGGCGGCUCUCUAGUACGGUACUGACGCUGAGACGCGAAAGCGUGGGGAGCGAACAGG